Molecule: transfer RNA, 75 nt
Filed under: Nanobdellota archaeon
Lineage: Archaea; Nanobdellati; Nanobdellota
Description: tRNA-Glu
Rfam family: tRNA
About the family: Transfer RNA (tRNA) molecules are approximately 80 nucleotides in length. Their secondary structure includes four short double-helical elements and three loops (D, anti-codon, and T loops). Further hydrogen bonds mediate the characteristic L-shaped molecular structure. tRNAs have two regions of fundamental functional importance: the anti-codon, which is responsible for specific mRNA codon recognition, and the 3' end, to which the tRNAs corresponding amino acid is attached (by aminoacyl-tRNA synthetases). tRNAs cope with the degeneracy of the genetic code in two manners: having more than one tRNA (with a specific anti-codon) for a particular amino acid; and 'wobble' base-pairing, i.e. permitting non-standard base-pairing at the 3rd anti-codon position.
Source: RNAcentral
GCCCUUGUAAUCUAGUCCGGUCAAGGAUCCCGGCCUCUCAAGCCGGAAACCCGGGUUCAAAUCCCGGCGAGGGCA